UCUCAACAACGGAUAUCUUGGCUCCCGUAACGAUGAAGAACGCAGCGAAAUGCGAUACGUAGUGUGAAUUGCAGAAUUCCGUGAACCAUAGAAUCUUUGAACGCAAAUUGCGCUCGAGGCUUCGGCCAAGAGCAUGUUUGCCUCAGCGUCGGCUACUACCC
This 161-nucleotide ribosomal RNA is filed under the name Trebouxia arboricola. RNAcentral describes it as "5.8S ribosomal RNA". It matches the Rfam family "5.8S ribosomal RNA". From Rfam's summary of the family: 5.8S ribosomal RNA (5.8S rRNA) is a component of the large subunit of the eukaryotic ribosome. It is transcribed by RNA polymerase I as part of the 45S precursor that also contains 18S and 28S rRNA. Lineage: Eukaryota; Viridiplantae; Chlorophyta; Trebouxiophyceae; Trebouxiales; Trebouxiaceae. The record is from RNAcentral.